GACGAACGCUGGCGGCGUGCUUAACACAUGCAAGUCGAACGGAAAGGCCCUGCUUUUGUGGGGUGCUCGAGUGGCGAACGGGUGAGUAACACGUGAGUAACCUGCCCUUGACUUUGGGAUAACUUCAGGAAACUGGGGCUAACACCGGCUAGGAGCUCCUGCUGCAUGGUGGGGGUUGGAAAGUUUCGGCGGUUGGGGAUGGACUCGCGGCUUAUCAGCUUGUUGGUGGGGUAGUGGCUUACCAAGGCUUUGACGGGUAGCCGGCCUGAGAGGGUGACCGGCCACAUUGGGACUGAGAUACGGCCCAGACUCCUACGGGAGGCAGCAGUGGGGAAUAUUGCACAAUGGGCGGAAGCCUGAUGCAGCAACGCCGCGUGCGGGAUGACGGCCUUCGGGUUGUAAACCGCUUUCGCCUGUGACGAAGCGUGAGUGACGGUAAUGGGUAAAGAAGCACCGGCUAACUACGUG
Molecule: ribosomal RNA, 468 nt
Filed under: uncultured bacterium
Lineage: Bacteria
Description: partial 16S ribosomal RNA
Rfam family: Bacterial small subunit ribosomal RNA
Source: RNAcentral